RNAcentral lists this transfer RNA (66 nucleotides) under Orthetrum albistylum. RNAcentral describes it as "tRNA-Leu". Lineage: Eukaryota; Metazoa; Arthropoda; Insecta; Odonata; Libellulidae. The record is from RNAcentral.
AAUUUAACUGUGCAAUUCAGUUUAAUUUGAUAAUUAAAAUCUUACUUAUUUUAAUUUAAUUUAUUU